CCGCGGUAAUACGUAGGGUGCAAGCGUUAAUCGGAAUUACUGGGCGUAAAGCGUGCGCAGGCGGUUUUGUAAGUCAGAUGUGAAAUCCCCGGGCUUAACCUGGGAAUGGCAUUUUGAACUGGCAGUCUAGAGUGCGUCAGAGGGGGGUGGAAUUCCACGUGUAGCAGUGAAAUGCGUAGAUAUGUGGAGGAACACCAAUGGCGAAGGCAGCCCCCUGGGAUGACACUGACGCUCAUGUACGAAAGCGUGGGUAGCAAACAGG
Molecule: ribosomal RNA, 262 nt
Filed under: uncultured bacterium
Lineage: Bacteria
Description: partial 16S ribosomal RNA
Rfam family: Bacterial small subunit ribosomal RNA
Source: RNAcentral